GCCUCGAUAGCUCAGUCGGUAGAGCAGAGGAUUGAAAAUCCUCGUGUCGGUGGUUCGAUUCCAUAUUUGGUGCA
RNAcentral lists this transfer RNA (74 nucleotides) under Vibrio parahaemolyticus. Its description in RNAcentral is "tRNA-Phe". It matches the Rfam family "tRNA". From Rfam's summary of the family: Transfer RNA (tRNA) molecules are approximately 80 nucleotides in length. Their secondary structure includes four short double-helical elements and three loops (D, anti-codon, and T loops). Further hydrogen bonds mediate the characteristic L-shaped molecular structure. tRNAs have two regions of fundamental functional importance: the anti-codon, which is responsible for specific mRNA codon recognition, and the 3' end, to which the tRNAs corresponding amino acid is attached (by aminoacyl-tRNA synthetases). tRNAs cope with the degeneracy of the genetic code in two manners: having more than one tRNA (with a specific anti-codon) for a particular amino acid; and 'wobble' base-pairing, i.e. permitting non-standard base-pairing at the 3rd anti-codon position. Lineage: Bacteria; Pseudomonadati; Pseudomonadota; Gammaproteobacteria; Vibrionales; Vibrionaceae. The record is from RNAcentral.